Amphiprion ocellaris (clown anemonefish) is the source of this 392-nucleotide long non-coding RNA. RefSeq lists it as uncharacterized. The transcript is spliced from 3 exons. NCBI's taxonomy places the organism in Eukaryota, Metazoa, Chordata, Actinopteri, Pomacentridae. The record is from RefSeq and is a predicted model, not a curated record.
AGCCAGAGAGCAGUGAUUGGUUAGACUGACAGAGCCAGAGAGCAGUGAUUGGUCAGACAGCGCGCUAGCGGAUCUAGUCUGCUGUACGUAUCUAUGGUCGGCACGUCUGCUAGCGUCUCUGGCUGCUGGAGACCUCGUUUUUGGAGUAAAACACGGUGGAAGCUGAAUUAGUGAGGAUGACUCCUGCUCCUGUCAUCUCUAAGCUCCUCACACAUCUUUACCUGCACAUGAGGAAAAUCACUCCUGUAGAAUGCAGAUGCACAAUGAGGGACGUCUGCAGAGACUGAGAAAGAGUCUCACCACAUCCUGACAUGAGGAAAAAGACUUUAUUGAAGACUACAAUGAGAAAAACUAUCAGACAGCAGACGGCUGCAUUCAAGGUGAGCUCUGAA